GCCCUGACUGGGAAUCAAACCAGUGACUCUUUGGUUCACAAGCUGGUGCUCAAUCCACUGAGCUACACCAGCCAGGGUCAUUGCAAUUGUUUCUUUAUACCUAAUUUCCUAUGUCUCUCUAUUUCUUCUUCUUAAAGUAAUUUCUUUAAUAUUUUUUGCAAUUCUGAUUUGGUGGUAGUGAACUUUUUUAGCCUUAUCUUCAACUGUAAAAUGUGAUGGAAGUGAUAACGGUCAAGUUACUGAAACAGAUGGCUUACAAUCUAGUGGCUGUAGUUACAUGGUUGUUAAAGUGUCCUAUAUUUACCAGAGAAUAAGAUCCUUUCAGGCAUGUGAAAUCCACAAAAAGUCUUUAAAAUCUCAGUACACCUGGUUCCCCUUACCCAUCACCUCCCAAAUUGAACACAGUGGUAGAUACUCAGGAAACACCAGAGGACACAAGCUAUCCUAUCAGUCUCAUAAGGCAUGAGAAGCCAGGCAAAGGGUGGAGAGGAUCGUUGGGUAUAAUAAUGGAGGCAUCUCAAGUUGGGACUUCUGUAUAAAGAUGAUGGGCCAAUAACUCUAUUUUCAACAUAUUAAGCACUUUGGAAGUAAAACAGGGAAGUGGCAAAGGAAUAAUUAUUUUCAAAGCACUGCUAUUAACUAUAGUGCCUGCUGGACAGGGCUGGGUAAUUACUAGAGGUCCAAUCUUUAUCCCUGACUUUGGUGGGGGGCACUUGAUAGGUCACAAAAACCUGUGUUUCCUGAUUCCUGCUGGAUAUAUGCCCUUCCCUCCAUGCUGCCCCAACACCUCCUGUGCUGUUCCCUAUCAGCCUGACAUCACAUCCCCAUACCACAGGAAACUACGCCAUCCCUACUGCUUUGGUGGCUUAAAUGACAGUCUGAAGUUGUCCAUCUCCCAGCACUUGAACUCACCCAGAGCAUGCACAAUCAUUGUCCCCCAAAAUACAUAGAACCAGGACUGGCAUUAAGGGGACAGAGGUGGGAUUGGGCCUUGCCAAGGAGAUUAGGUGAUGUGAAGAUGGCUGCUGUGAUCACAUUUCUUCUUGGACUGCUGCUUGAUUUCUUCAAAGUACUAUUCAGCCUUUUCUUCUUUUAAACAUAUUCCAUAUGGACCCUCCAUUCCUUCCCCUCUUCCCCUGUUCCCCUAAACCCUCAGGUCCUCACUCCUAUGUAUUCUCCCUACCCAAUAACUCUCAAAUAGAAUUCCUAAUAGCAUCAAGCUGUAUGACAGAAAAUGUUGACCAGCUGUUUACUACCCCAGGCAAUCAUCUGUUCAGCUCUAAUACUCUAUUGAGUAUGAACUUGUAUUCCUUUCCUCAGACUUCAGAUACUUUUACCUUGAGGCUCAGGAGGGGCAACCCAGGACAGCUCUGGUGAUAGCAGUGACCCCAAAGGAGUUGGAACAAUUACAACCAUCUUCUGAGAUGCAUCAGCUUUCUGAAACAGCAACAGGUUGUGGACGAUGGGAAAGCCUAAUAAUGUCAAAUGAGCCCUUGUCCUACCACCGUGCUUCUUGGACCUGAAGGCACCUUCCAGAUUCUUCCUAAAGUUAUCUUAUGGUUUGGUCAUUAGGCAUGCAGCAGCAGGAUAAAUGUAAGUGAUUCUAAUUCCUGGUAUUUGUCAUUCCUCAGGGGCCAGGGUGAAACAAUGUGACUUCCUGGACAGACUAACUUAAUUCCGAGGCACUAUAAAAUAAAAGAUCACUGGUAAUGUGACCAUUUAUUUACUUAACAGCCAAGCUGCUAUUAAACUAGAGCUGAGUCACCUGGGGUUAAAGCCUCACAGACAGAAAAGCAGGGAGGCAAGACACAGAGCAUAGGCCAGAGUGCAAUACAGAAGCCUUCAACAAAUAAGUCUAGCACACACAACCACUUUUUUU
Phyllostomus discolor (pale spear-nosed bat) is the source of this 1879-nucleotide long non-coding RNA. RefSeq lists it as uncharacterized. The transcript has 2 exons. The record is from RefSeq and is a predicted model, not a curated record. NCBI's taxonomy places the organism in Eukaryota, Metazoa, Chordata, Mammalia, Chiroptera, Phyllostomidae.